UCCUUUCAAGACAUCAGAAGAUUUGCUGACUGCCAUCUCGAAUUGGAACAGAAAUUAAAGAUUUUGAAUUUUAUGAAAAGAUUCGGUAAAGAAUCCCUGUGUCUGUCAUGCAGAAAUUACUUUAAGAUUACAAAAAAGUUUCCAAUAAAGAUGGGAAGUUCUCUACAUUCCAUAUUUUCUGGUCUUUUAAAAAUACAGAAUGCUUUGAAACAUAAAACUUAAUAACUACAGAAGAUUUUUAUUU
RNAcentral lists this long non-coding RNA (244 nucleotides) under Centruroides sculpturatus (bark scorpion). Its description in RNAcentral is "uncharacterized LOC111623170". Lineage: Eukaryota; Metazoa; Arthropoda; Arachnida; Scorpiones; Buthidae. The record is from RNAcentral.